UCCUAUUACAGUACUGUACUGAAAGUAUACCUACCUAUGCAAAACGAUUUUUGUACCGUGUAACAGGUGACGUAUUUGUUGUUACUCGUGGCCGAUAGAAUUAUUAACAUUCCCACUGGCUACUUGGGCAUUUGGCAUAACGUGCAUGCACAUUGCACAUAUACGAGUACGUAUAGGUAUAUGACCUAUAUAUUACCUAUUAUUGUUGGUUCACACUUUUUUUUAUCAUUUAAAUUUAUAUAAUUUACAUCAUAAUAUUGAUUUUAAAUCGUUUGAUAAACAAUAUAAUUUAGUGCAAUGCGUAUACGUAUACGCAUGAUUAAAAUAAUACACUAACAAUAUUAA
Molecule: non-coding RNA, 345 nt
Organism: Cinara cedri
Lineage: Eukaryota; Metazoa; Arthropoda; Insecta; Hemiptera; Aphididae
Source: the annotation of a GenBank genome assembly